Molecule: ribosomal RNA, 498 nt
Filed under: uncultured bacterium
Lineage: Bacteria
Description: partial 16S ribosomal RNA
Rfam family: Bacterial small subunit ribosomal RNA
Source: RNAcentral
GACGAACGCUGGCGGCAUGCCUAACACAUGCAAGUCGAACGGAGAUUAUUUCGGUAAUCUUAGUGGCGAACGGGUGAGUAACGCGUGGGCAACCUGCCCUCUAGAUGGGGACAACAUCCCGAAAGGGGUGCUAAUACCGAAUGUGACAGCAAUCUCGCAUGAGGAUGCUGUGAAAGAUGGCCUCUAUUUAUAAGCUAUCACUAGAGGAUGGGCCUGCGUCUGAUUAGCUAGUUGGUGGGGUAACGGCCUACCAAGGCGAUGAUCAGUAGCCGGUCUGAGAGGAUGAACGGCCACAUUGGGACUGAGACACGGCCCAGACUCCUACGGGAGGCAGCAGUGGGGAAUCUUCCGCAAUGGGCGAAAGCCUGACGGAGCAAUGCCGCGUGAGUGAUGAAGGAAUUCGUUCCGUAAAGCUCUUUUGUUUAUGACGAAUGUGCAGAUUGUGAACAAUGAUCUGUAAUGACGGUAGUAAACGAAUAAGCCACGGCUAACUACGUG